AACGCACAUUGCGCCCUUUGGUAUUCCGAAGGGCAUGCCUGUUCGAGCGUCAUUAUCACCUCUCAAGCCUGGCUUGUUGUUGGACUCCAGGUCCGGGUUCACCCCCGACCGGUCCCAAAAGUAAUGACGGCGUCCGUGGGACUCUCGGUGCAACGAGCUUUUUAAGCACGCACGGAGUUGAAAGGUCCCCCGGCACGGUCCUAUAACCAUUUUUCUAAGGUUGACCUCGGAUCAGGUAGGAAUACCCGCUGAACUUAA
This 258-nucleotide unclassified non-coding RNA is filed under the name Camptophora sp. Its description in RNAcentral is "partial contains 5.8S ribosomal RNA, internal transcribed spacer 2, and large subunit ribosomal RNA". The stretch from base 1 to 52 matches the Rfam family "5.8S ribosomal RNA", at positions 103 to 154 of the family's 154-position model. Lineage: Eukaryota; Fungi; Ascomycota; Eurotiomycetes; Chaetothyriales; Chaetothyriaceae. RNAcentral also lists the same sequence under 1 other name. The record is from RNAcentral.